UGGGGAAUUUUGGACAAUGGGCGCAAGCCUGAUCCAGCCAUGCCGCGUGCGGGAAGAAGGCCUUCGGGUUGUAAACCGCUUUUGUCAGGGAAGAAAUCUUCUGAGUUAAUACCUCGGGAGGAUGACGGUACCUGAAGAAUAAGCACCGGCUAACUACGUGCCAGCAGCCGCGGUAAUACGUAGGGUGCAAGCGUUAAUCGGAAUUACUGGGCGUAAAGCGUGCGCAGGCGGUUUUGUAAGACAGAGGUGAAAUCCCCGGGCUCAACCUGGGAACUGCCUUUGUGACUGCAAGGCUUGAGUGCGGCAGAGGGGAUGGAAUUCCGCGUGUAGCAGUGAAAUGCGUAGAUAUGCGGAGGAACACCGAUGGCGAAGGCAAUCCCCUGGGCCUGCACUGACGCUCAUGCACGAAAGCGUGGGGAGCAAACAGGAUUAGAUACCCUGGUAGUCCACGCCCUAAACGAUGUCAACUGGUUGUUGGGAAGGUUCCUUCUCAGUAACGUAGCUAACGCGUGAAGUUGACCGCCUGGGGAGUACGGCCGCAAGGUUGAAACUCGAAGGAAUUGACGGGGUCAUAGCUG
Molecule: ribosomal RNA, 578 nt
Filed under: uncultured bacterium
Lineage: Bacteria
Description: partial 16S ribosomal RNA
Rfam family: Bacterial small subunit ribosomal RNA
Source: RNAcentral